ACAACAAUAUUUAGCAAGGUCUUUAGAGGAGCUGAGCAGCUGCAAUUCACUCUGUCUAAUCCCACUGGCUUCAAACAGAAUUACACAGGAUGUAAAUCAGGACAGAAUUUAGCCCAUCAUCCUCAGAAAUAUUUACCUUUGUGGCAGGUUCUUCUGAAGAACAAUGGAAAACUACAUGGCAGUGUCCACUGCAUGGAGGCAGUUUUUCCACUAACUGUAUAUUCAAAGAUUGCUGUUUGGCAAAAGCAGAGAGAUGGAAAAUAUCCACUCACAUUUAAAUUGUUACACUUUUCUCUAUGGUCAUUGUGACAAACAUGGUACACUAAUAUUGUCUGUAAUUUCAAUAUAUUGGGGAUUCGAGUAUGUUUUUAUACAGACACUUGGCAGGAAUGGUGGCCUGACUGUUUUUAUGCCACCAUCCUGCAUGGUGAUGUGGUAAUGCAACCACACUCCCCAUCUGAUCCUGCUAAAUGAGAAACGGGAUUUGGUGGGAUGCAGAAUAGUGGACAUUCUGGAAUGGAAAAAAGAUUGACAACUAUUACAGUAGCACAUAGGUGGAGGACAUCUGAUCACUUUCAUCUCCCUUAUUCCAUAUUACUGUCCUGGCUAGGCUAUUUCAGCUAGAUUUGUGGUGACCUGAGGCAGCAUGCAAACCCUUGGAACUCUUCAAGGCAGAUGGAUGAAGCAUUCUGCUACAAAUAUUGGGAGAACCCAAGUCCCCUAACCUCUCACUUGGGCUCAUUGUGUUUCCUUGGGAAAGUCCUUCUGUGUACUACUUCAUCCCUCUGUAAAAUGGGGGGUGAUCA
Mauremys reevesii (Reeves's turtle) is the source of this 806-nucleotide long non-coding RNA. RefSeq lists it as uncharacterized. The record is from RefSeq and is a predicted model, not a curated record. The transcript is spliced from 4 exons. Lineage: Eukaryota; Metazoa; Chordata; Testudines; Geoemydidae.